GUGGUAAUAUAAACACACUUUUUAUAUAUCUAUCUAUUUUCAUUAUUUUUUAAGUUAUAUUACAUUUUUGACUUUAUGAAAAUUUAUUUAAAUAGUAUGAGAUAGAUAUAUAAAAAUAGUUGAUGAAAAUAUUGACUCUCAAAAUUAACAAUACUUUAGAUAAAAUAUUUACCACGCCCUUCGCUGAAGGGUGACAAUGGGCUAUUGCCCACGAGCUAGAUCACAAACCGAGCUAGAUGCUUGUUUUGAAAAAGUCGAGAUCGACAAAUUCAUUGUAAAAUUGACUUUGUGACAUAACAGGUGAGUCGCCUCCAAUAUUGAACAAGACCUCAACAAAUGAUUGUAAAUCCAUUUGUAAUAAAUUGAUAAUAUAAGACUUGAUUCCUUGAAUGAAGAUGAAACGACGAAUUAAUAUGCAGAAAUUUGAUAAUUAUACGAACGUAAAUUGUAAUAAAUUGGUGUAUAAAAUGUUAUGUAGAGAAUCGCAUUGUGAUUUGUGUUGCGGAAACUUUUGAGAAAUCUUGGAUUUUGGGGCUCAAAAAACAACCAAACGAACAUCAAAAUCACCAAGGCUUGACCCAAAACCGAACUCUAUGUUGGUUGCUCUAAGUUCUCUCAAUCCCACAAAAAAGAAUGGAUGGUGGUGGUACUAGCAAGAGUAGGAAGAAGAAGAAGCAACAAUACUAAAAAUAUCUCCCAAUUCUCUCCUCUCCAUCUUUCCAACCGGCCGCCCUCCCUUUCCAUUUUCUUCCCAUCCCUUGCUACAAUAAAUACACACCACACAAAAACGGCUUACAGGGAUGGAUAUAUAGAUUGAAUAUUAGGCCACUUAAUUGGGCCAACAAUAAAGUAAAUGGGCCAAAAUAAACUAAAGCUUAAACCAUCAAGUGGGCUAUUUAAACCUAAGGCAAAACUUAAUAACAAUUGGGCCAAAAUUCACAUAUCCAUAAAUAAUAAAUCCAACUCUAACUUGGGUCAUCCAAAAGUAUAGAUCGUUC
Molecule: long non-coding RNA, 998 nt
Filed under: Olea europaea subsp. europaea
Lineage: Eukaryota; Viridiplantae; Streptophyta; Magnoliopsida; Lamiales; Oleaceae
Source: RNAcentral